GGGGUGGUUUGGGAGCAGCAGGGCUUUGUGAUAACCCCAAAGACCCCUCCUCUUUCCACCCCCUGCUGCCUCCUCCCUUCCCGCGGGUGUUCCGCAUUAUGGAGCAAGCCAAGAGGAAGUCCACCAGACGGCUCCGGAGGAUGUCUUCCUGAGCCUCACCUGCCCGAGGCCCCCCACCCGAAGGGAAAGCAGACAAGGACAAGCAAAACCAGCAGGCUCCCGGCCCCCCUCUCCUCCUUCGGCUCCAUUUCCCUCCCAGCCCUCCUCCCAGCCUCCCACCCCACCCCGCUCUGGGCCUCCCUCCCAGCAUCCCUCACGGCUCCCCUCAAAGUCUGCCUUGCUGUAAGAAAGAGCUGUGGUGCCAGGUUAGCACAGGUGCGCACAGCCUGCCCUGGGCUGCAGGGGGUACGGGGCUGGAGGGGUGGGUGUGGCUCUCUGCAGAUUGAGGCCACUCACCUUCGAGACCUGCCGGAGAACCCCCGUGUGUUUCUGUGGAGAAGGGUCCCCUGGAGUCCCGCCUGGGUGGCCCGUGGUCUCAUUGAGCCCUGGCCAUGGAAGCAGCCUCAGAGGAACACCUGCCAUGUCCUGUCAAGGAGAAGCCCUGUGGGUGACCGAAGCGGUGAUGAAGCUGUACUUAUGAAGGUUCCAGGAAGGCCACAACGACCGUCCCUGCCCCCACGCCCUGCCUCCGCUCACAGCAGCGCAGCAUCACGGUGUGGUCGUGUCCCUGGCUGCCACACCCACUCCAUCUGUUUUCCGUGUGGCUGCUCUGAGGCAUCUGCCAGCGUCCUCUGCCCCCCGCUCCCCACCCACUGAGCCUGGUUCUCCCUGUCCCCCGGGACCCUGGUCUGCCUCUUCCAAAGGCUCCUCUUCCUUCUCCCUGCCUGGUGGGUCCCUCAGCCCCAAGCCCGCCUCUCUCCCUCACUCUCCCCUCUGCACCUGCCACCCUUGGGUUUCUCUCUCAUUCACCCCCCCCCCCCCGGCUUUCAACUGGCAUCUUAUUCCAGCCAGGAACUGCCCUGAGCUCCCAACAAUCUAGACUUUUCCAAUGAGUUCUCUCACCCUCCUGAAGCCCAAAGGGAAAUGGGAUCUUCUCCCACCCUCUGGACACAGCUCGUCAGCCCACCAGCUCUGGGGGCUCUUACUGCCAGGGUGGUAGGCAAGGGAAGGCAUGGCUGCAGCAUUGUCAAGAGAAGAACACCUAUUUCCUGAAAAAUAGAAAACUUUGGGAGUUCCCGUCAUGCUUUAGCAGAAACAAAUCUCACUAGUAUCCAUGAGGAUGCAGGUUCGAUCCGUGGCCUGGCUCAGUGGGUUAAGAAUCCUGCAAUGCUGUGGCUGUGGUGUAGGCGGCAGACACAGCUCGGAUCCCUGCAUUGCUGUGGCUGUGGUGUAGGCCGGUGACUACAGCUCCGAUUGGAGCUCCAAUUCGACGCCUAGCCUGGGAACCUCCAUAGGAUGGGUGUGGCCCUAAAAAAAAAAAGAAAACUUUGUAAAUAAAUACAAGUGAUAAAGACA
This 1515-nucleotide long non-coding RNA is filed under the name Sus scrofa (pig). Its description in RNAcentral is "lncRNA (ENSSSCG00035058031.1)". Lineage: Eukaryota; Metazoa; Chordata; Mammalia; Artiodactyla; Suidae. The record is from RNAcentral.